Rhopilema esculentum is the source of this 2714-nucleotide non-coding RNA. The record is from RefSeq and is a predicted model, not a curated record. Lineage: Eukaryota; Metazoa; Cnidaria; Scyphozoa; Rhizostomeae; Rhizostomatidae.
UGCUAUUGCCAAGUAAAAUGAUACAAAUAAAUUCUUAAAUUGUCUAGUAUUUUGUGCUGUCUUUAUUGAUUCCGGGAGUGAAUUCCAGAUUUUAGGCCCUUGAAAACUUAAUGAUCUGAUACUAUUAUUGGUAGUUCUGGCUUUCAGAAUGUCAAGGGUGUUUUUGAGUCGAAGGUUGUGGACCUGUCCUGUUGUUUUGGGUAGAAAAUAGUCUUUCAUGAAAACAGGAUUAAGGUUGUUAAGUGUUUUAUAAACUUCCUAUGUUUUGCGCAGCUAAAAUUACUUGAGAGACUUAAACCCCGUUUACACUGUCCCGGGACAAUUUGGUACCGUUUAGCCGUUCCGUUUACACUGUACCAGUACAACCUUAAUUUAAUAGUAGAACAUUGUUUAGAAGAAGCUGUAUUUAGUAAACCAUGGCUUUUAUUUUGCCGCCGAAGUCAACAAUCGAAACUUUAUUGAGAGCUAAAAUGGAGAGGAAGGCCGAUAAAAACUUUACUUGGACGAACGACGAGGUGGCUUUAAUUUUCAGUGUUAUUUCAGACUACAAAGCUGCAAAGUCCAAUCAAGGCUUGGACUGGGAAACAAUACAAGCCUUUUCUGUGGUCGUCUUUUCUUCAGAAUUUCCUUUUCUUCAGAAUUUUACAACGUAGUUACGCCACAAUCAAAGCCUCGAUUACCCGAAACAGCCAUACAAAAAACCUCCUUGUGAAUCCGUGACAAAAUCAUCUCGGAUAGGUGUUUACACUGGAACCGUAACGGUACAAAAUUCGUUCGCUUUCAAAGCAGGGUCAAAACUGUUCCGGAUAGCAGAGCAAAAUCGUCACGGUUCCACAGUGCUAGUGUAAACGGAAGGGUGAACCGCGACAGUUUUGUCACGGUUCCAAACUUGCACGGGACAGUGUAAACGGGGUCUUAAGGUUAGGCACUUAGUUACAUCUCUUCUCUACUAAUACGAAUAUGCUCGCAUGCAGAUGAGCCCAAAUAAUGGACCCACAGUCAACCCCAUUGACCGCCCUCCCCUGCCCCAAAAGAAGGGCGGUUUUUUUAACCGGAAGGUCUCAAAUCGAAGCUAAAAGAUUGAUCAGCUUCAAUUGGGGUAGUACGUUUUUUUGGUGCCUUGGAACGUGACUGGAAAACUUUCUGCUGAUUCUUACAGUUUGAAGAUUCCCUGGAUUUCACAAUGGAAUAAAGGGUUCGCGAUUCCAUGAGCCAAUCGUGAAACAGAUCGAACUCGCGGGACCCGAAAGAUUCCUUCUCUCUCUACAAAUGUUUUCAAAUGCAACGAUGACUUUUCAAAUGCGUUUCGCUUUCAACAAAGAAUCAAUUGUCCGAUGAUCGAUUUGGAUUUGGAUUAAUCUCCGUGCACUACUGCCUGGCUCUCCAUUUCGAACUCGAAGCGGUCGUGAACAGUCGUAUCGUGCUAUGGUCGGUCGUGGGUGCUCUUAACCUUAGCUACAUAGACAUGCUGCUGUGCUGCCCAUUUUACCGUUUCGCGAUUGCUGCUGGUUGUUCCCGUUCUUCUGGCAUCAGAAUCGAUGACAUGCAAGCACAAAUGAACGAUCGGAUUCGCUGACGUCUUGGUACAACAAAUAAAUCAUCUCAAGCAAUAAUUAUGACGCAGACGUGAUUCUCGAACCUUCGAAACGAAAUUUAUUGCAUUUAUGCUGGUGUGAAAUUGAACAAUGAAACAAGAAAAAAACUUGACUGUGGAGAAAAGGACUAAAGUUAUAGAUUAGCUGUUGUCCGUAGAUUGUAUUUUGUUAAUUUGUUGUUGGAAGAAGAUUCCUUACUUAUGCACGAAACUUUGGCUGUUUUCUGUAUUUCAAUUUCCUGGGUGCUUUCUUACUGCAGUGUUUGUUUCAAAGGGUAGCUGUGUCGAAGAUAUGAUACGUAGGCCUCGAUUGAAAAGAACUCCGUAAAGUUUUUAAUUAAUUGGAGUUUCAAUCGCGAAUGGUUAACUUUUUGAUGAAUUAACUUACUUUUAGGGAUUUUUAUGUCUAAAAGUUUUCCAGAUGAUGUCUAAACGAACACCACGGACAUAAUACGGCUAACAGAAAUUUAUUAGAAAAUUUUAUCUUUUGAUUCAGAAUAAACGGGGGAACUUUGAGGAAGCCCACAAUUAUGUUUAAACCAGCAUCACGAGUCAACGAGGACUGAAGGAAGUUCUAUAGUUCACGUUAGAUUCAUAUUAAACAUGAGAGUUAUAAGGAAGGCCCUAAAAAUAUUACAACGCGACCCAUUAGUCAACGAGGACCAAAUCUGUAUGGUUAGAAAACUUUAACAUUUGAAUCUAAAUAAAUAGAAGAACUCCUGGGAGUAACCUCCUGAAAAUGUGUCAAAGAGGUAAACGAUUCGGUGGGGGCAAAUAGAAAUAUAUUGCUGUGAAGCUUUAAAGAAGAGUUCAGAAUAGCUUUUAGAUUAGCCCGCAGAAUAUUGAAAUGAGCCCCACGAGUCAUCGAGGAAUAAAUGAAAUAAUUUGAUGGAAAAUUUAAGCACUGAAAUUAAAAUAAACAGGAGACUUAGGAGGUAAACCAUUAAAAUAUUUAAACGUGGACCAAGAAUAGACCGGGCCUUGCAAAAUGUUUCUAGCAACUUUCAACCUUGCUUCGAUCUUACAAACGUAAUGUAUCAAAUUGAUAUGCACAUUUCAAUGAACGAAAGACUAGCACUCAACCUUCAAUAGAGAAAUACAAUUAGAAUACAGAUGGCUA